UAGCGACGUGGUCCCAACACGGCCGAGGAGGCGGGGGUGGGGGGGACCUCAAAGCAGGGGCAGGGUGGGGCUGGGAAACAGCUAGGUCCCCCUGCAACUUGGGUCACACGCUCAGAAGUGUCUGAAGAUGGAGAGCUGAGAUCUCGGCCACUAGGAAGCCCUUUGUGGACGGUCGUCCUGGAAUGGCAGGCACCAGACCUGUGGUCGAGGGAGAAACUUCCUGGCGAUUUGGGCCUGCCAGCAAUCAUUGUGAGCCGAGACACAUCACAUCGGUGGUGGGAGAGGCCAUCCUCGCCUCCAAGAGAAGAGCAAUAGCAGCUAUGAGACACACACAGUCAGGUUCCAUACAGAGUCUCCAGCUGGCCUUCGUGGAGCAAGGGACUGGGCAAGCCUGCCCGGUUGUACGGUCACCCUUUGGAGGGUACUCUUUGCUGCUAAUGAUCCAUGAAGAGGGGGUUGCUGAUGCCUGAAGGGGAUCUUGGACAAAGGAGCUACACUCUGCUCUGGAUAACUCUUUGCUGGCCUUUCCCUAAACUAAAUAAACAUUGAAUACUAAUUAGUGUGUAAGCGGCUCUUUGUGAAGGGUUUAAAAGUAGACCCAAAGCCA
Molecule: long non-coding RNA, 607 nt
Filed under: Equus caballus (horse)
Lineage: Eukaryota; Metazoa; Chordata; Mammalia; Perissodactyla; Equidae
Description: lncRNA (ENSECAG00000056088.1)
Source: RNAcentral